RNAcentral lists this ribosomal RNA (483 nucleotides) under uncultured bacterium. Its description in RNAcentral is "partial 16S ribosomal RNA". It matches the Rfam family "Bacterial small subunit ribosomal RNA", at positions 30 to 507 of the family's 1533-position model. The record is from RNAcentral.
AUUGAACGCUGGCGGCAGGCCUAACACAUGCAAGUCGAGCGGAUGAAGGCUGCUUUCUCCUGGAUUCAGCGGCGCACGGGUGAGUAUUACCUAGGAAUCUGCCUGCUAUGGGUUUAUAACGUCUUGAAACGGGCGCUAAUACCGCAUACGUCCUGUGGUAGAAAGUGGUGAGGUUCGGACCUCACGCUAUCAGAUGAGUCUAGGUCGGAUUAGCUAGUUGGUUGGGUGAAUGCCUGCCAAGGCGACGAUCCGCAACUGGUCUGAGAGGAUGAUCAGUCACACUGGAACUGAGACACGGACCAGACUACUACGGGAGGCAGCAGAGGGGAAUAUUGGACAAUGGGCGAAAGCCUGAUCCAGCCAUGCCGAGUGUGUGAAGAAGGUCUUCGGAUUGUAAAGAACUUUAAGUUGGGAGGAAGGGCAGUAAGUUAAUACCUUGCUGUUUUGACGGUAACAACAAAAUAAGCACCGGCUAACUACGUG